CCGCAUUCAACGCCCCGGGCUCAGCCGCGGCUGCGCCCGGAAUCCGGGGCCUCUCCUUCGUGACCCCGGAGUGGGCAAGUGACGAGGGCACGGCCAGAAACGCAUUGGCGUCAAGGAAACCACGACCCAUCUUCCUGGAAGGAAAUUUGGGGACACUUAUGAAGAGAAGACUAGGAAGGACCGGAGUAGAAGCACUAAAGGAGGAACCAUGUGGAAGGGAUAUAAAUAUCCCCCAGGAGGGACUCCAGUGGAAGUAAGCAAGGAUGAUCCUGGUGAAGUAAUGCAGCUGUGAAGCUCACCUGACCAGCUGUACAGUUCCUGUUGUUGGUUUCGCAUAAAGUAAUUGCACAUCAU
RNAcentral lists this long non-coding RNA (354 nucleotides) under Pan troglodytes (chimpanzee). RNAcentral's name for it is "long non-coding RNA NONPTRT002560". The record is from RNAcentral. Lineage: Eukaryota; Metazoa; Chordata; Mammalia; Primates; Hominidae.